This 23-nucleotide microRNA is filed under the name Brugia malayi. Its description in RNAcentral is "bma-miR-9509-3p". Lineage: Eukaryota; Metazoa; Nematoda; Chromadorea; Rhabditida; Onchocercidae. The record is from miRBase by way of RNAcentral.
UAUGUAGUUCGGCUUUGCAAUUG